RNAcentral lists this ribosomal RNA (452 nucleotides) under uncultured bacterium. Its description in RNAcentral is "SSU rRNA". It matches the Rfam family "Bacterial small subunit ribosomal RNA", at positions 26 to 518 of the family's 1533-position model. The record is from RNAcentral.
AGGAUGAACGCUGGCGGCGUGCCUAAAACAUGCAAGUCAUACGGUCUACCUUCGGGUAGACAGUGGCAAACGGGUGAGUAACACGUGGGAACACGCCUUCGAGUGGGGAAUAACGCUGAGAAAUCAGUGCUAAUACCGCAUAUGGUCUAACGACUAAAGCAGUAAUGCGCUCGGAGAGUGGCCCGCGUCCGAUUAGCUAGUUGGUGGGGUAAUGGCCUACCAAGGCGGUGAUCGGUAGCUGGUCUGAGAGGAUGGUCAGCCACACUGGGACUGCGAACGGCCCAGACUCCUACGGGAGGCAGCAGUUAGGAAUUUUCGGCAAUGGACGAAAGUCUGACCGAGCGACGCCGCGUGGAGGACGAAGCCGUUUCGGGGUGUAAACUCCUUUUCUGCGGGAAGAUAAUGACGGUACCGCAGGAAUAAGCACCGGCUAACUACGUGCCAGCAGCCGC